AUGGCGUCUCCGGCCUCCACCUCCGCGCCGGUCUCCCUCUCCCUCUCCCUCCCGCUCCGCCCUUCCCCGUGCCGCCGCCUCCCCGCGCCCUUCUCCCGCCUCCCUCCCCGCCGCUUCACCCUCUCGCCGACCCGCCCCGCCGCCGCGCUGCUCUCCAGCCCCAGCCCCAGCCCCAGCCACGCGCAGCACGAGCACAAGGACGAGGAAGAUGAAGAAGAGGAGUAUGGUGAAGAUGAGGAGCUCGUGGAGGAGGAUGACUUGGUGGAGGUGGGGUACGUGAGCGGCGCGCACGGGGUGCGCGGCGACGUCCUCGUCUCGCCCCGCACCGACUUCCCCGAGCUCCGCUUCGCCACGCCGGGGAAGAGGUGGCUGAGGGCUCGCGCCGCCGGGAAGAUGCAGGUCAGGGAGUUCGAGCUCGUCAGGGGGAAAGCCCACACGGGGAAGAAGGGCUGGAUCGUGCGCUUCGACGGCGUCGACUCCUUGGACGAGGCCAGGCAGAUAGUUGGUUCGGCUGUUCUCGUGAAGACCGAGGAUAGGCCGGAACUGGAGGAGGAUGAGAUCUAUUCGCUCGAUCUUGUUGGCAUGACUGUUAUUGUCAAGGAUACAGGCAAGCUUGUAGGCACUGUUGCACAGGUCUUCAAUUUUGGAGGUGGCGAUCUUCUCCAGGUUAUGGUUGGCUCUGCUGAGAAUGCUGUGCAGACUGAUUCAGAAAAUCAGGAUUCAACUCCAUCCCGUCAGCACGUGUGGAUUCCAUUUGCUGAAGAUAUUGUGCCUGAUAUUGAUAUGGAGACUAGAGAGAUGUGGAUUACACCACCAAAGGGUCUUCUUGAGGUCAACACACGUCCUGAGAAAUCAAAGAAAGAAAGGCGUGCGAUGGAUUGGAAGGAAAAGAAGAAACUACAGCGUCGCAUAACUGCAGCAAAGAAGGUACUACAUGAAAUGGAACAGGGCCAUAUUCUGGAAGGUUUGCUAUCAGGGGACAAGCUCGAAAAGGCUUCACUUGCUGAACAAAUUGCGAGCAUUGACUUCCAAUUGUUCAAACAUGCAAUGCAUAGCGUCAGCAAGCAGGUUGACAGCAUGUCAAAGAAUGUUCUUGCCAAUUCCUCUUCAUCAAGAAAAAACGUGAUGAGGAUACCUCGCGAAACCCUCAUGAAUCAUGGUGAGAAAGAGAAGAAUGUCUUCAGUAGUGAAUUUAGCAAAGGCUGUGAGAUCCUUCAAAAGUCAAAAGCAGCAAUUGUACUUGUUACAAAUGACUCAGACUCUGAUAUUGUGGAUGCUGAGUUUCAGAGAUUGCUUAACUCUUUUAGUGAGUUAAUGAAGGUAGAAGAAAAUCAUAUAUCUCCCCCUUUUGUUAUUGUUUCUCCUGGCGAUCAUGUGGAUUCAGUUCGGAACUACUUGAUAGAGAACGACUAUUUUGGUUUUGACACUCAGAAGCUAUGGGUCCUUGAAGAGAUGAAACUACCAGUUGUCAGUCUGUCCUCUGAGCUAGGGAGCAAAAAAAUUCUGCUGAAGUCCCCAUGGGAGAUACUUCAAAGGCCAGCUGGAUCUGGGGCGAUUUUCAGCUCACUAUCAUCAAAUAAAAUUCUGGAAUCGUUCAAUGCAAUGGGCAUAGAGUACGUACAGAUAUGCAGCCCCUCUGACGAACUAGUCCUCGGGCAUCCUCUGCUCUUCGGUGCUGCAAGUUCGCGCAGUGUGGAUGUCGGUGUCAAGCUCCGCAAGACCAGCGACAAGACGGAAGAUGGUUUCGAUUUGAUCCUUUCCAUCGACCACUUGAACAAGAUGUGCCGAGACGUCGCCAAGGCCAGGUUCUCUGCCCACCCCGAGCAGCACGAACACGUCGAGCUUGUCGACGGCCAGUGGGUCACCGUCCAGCCAGAGGGGCCGAACUCUCACCGGUUGAGUACCAAUGUUACAAGUGUUUUGGAUUCUUGCUCUCCUGACAAGCUGUGCGUCAUGGAGAUUGUUGAGUAG
This 1971-nucleotide ribosomal RNA is filed under the name Triticum aestivum (bread wheat). RNAcentral describes it as "partial small subunit ribosomal RNA". Lineage: Eukaryota; Viridiplantae; Streptophyta; Magnoliopsida; Poales; Poaceae. The record is from RNAcentral.